Non-coding RNA from Manis javanica (Malayan pangolin), 5278 nucleotides. NCBI's taxonomy places the organism in Eukaryota, Metazoa, Chordata, Mammalia, Pholidota, Manidae. The record is from RefSeq and is a predicted model, not a curated record.
UUUUCGGGGCCGCCUUCGGACUGCCCAGAGCCCCUCACUUGCCCCUCGACCCCCACAUCCUUUUACUUCUAGACUGCGCUCACGCCCCCGGCUUGGUGGAGACACCUUCCUGAGGCUGGAGGAGGAGCGGAUCCGGGCAUCCUGGCUUCCCCACUCUCUCCAGCUGCCUGGCUUCCUGAUAGAUGGUGAUUAUUAUAUAAUAGACCUGCUGGACAGAACCGUGCCAGCGCUCCGAACACUUUGCCCCCCUCCUCGAAGCCUGCCUGCCCCAGGGCCUGGCACCAGCCCCACAGAGCCUGCUGCCCAGCUCUGCCGGCGCCCCCAGCCUGUCUCCAUCCCGAGGCGGGAGACCCUGGACCACCUUCACUGGUGGCCCUGGGGCCACGUUCUGGGACGGGGCGUCCGCCGGGCUAGGAGUCGGCCGGCUACCAGCAGGUCUCAGGGUCGGCCUGCGGAGGGAGUAUGGCUAUACCAGCGCCUCUCCACGACUGUGGGACCCACCUGGCCCCUCCAACCUAAUCUUGGAAUUUGGGAACCAAGAGAGCCCGGCCCCAGUCUUGCAGAUUGCGGGCAGACUUAACUCCUUGCGUGCCAGCCUGAUGGACUCCGAGGUGGAGACGCUGCGAGGGAGGGACUCCAGACCCCACUCCUAUCACAAUUUAACACCUUGUGGCCCGAAGGCAGUCUCGGAAUUUGGGCUGGUCGGAACCCUGGAAGGCUGCCUGGUCCUCGAGGUGCGCCACACAAAACCCGGCACCUGACAGCUGCCUCCUGUCGUCCACUCGUGCCAAAUCUUAACUGUCCACCCUCCCCCGCCGGUCCUCUGCGUCUCUCCCUCCACUCUGGCCGCCCGGCCCACUGGUCGUUGCAAAGGUCCCUGACAGAAGGCGCGGGGACCCCGGAAGUCUGGGUUCUGUGGCUACCGCAGCAUUCGUCUCUGUUUCCCGCCUGUGAGGCCCAGCGCAGGUGACCACAGCCCUGGCCUCUCUUGCCCCCAGGGGGCUCCUUCACCCAUCUGCGGAGGCAGCCACCCACCUGAAGCAGGGAAUGCUAGCGUCCCCCAGCUCCAGCGAGGACACGCCUGAGUAACAGGAAACCCUGAUUUUGCCUCCACCUUAGCCCCUCUUCUAGGCAAGACCCUCUCCACCAUCAGAUUUGCCCCUCAAUUCUACUAUGACUGACUCUGCCUGAGGGAAGUACCUCGGACUAAGCACGAAGGGGUUAAUGGAGCUACCGGGCUCUGAGUGGGAGCCAGGCCUUCCCAUUCCUCCAGACCCCAGCAUCGAAUUCAAGCCUGUAGCCCGGUUUCAGAGCUCCUACCUGCUACCCUGGGCCUCUUCAGCUCCCUGCCCUCUGGGUUUGUCUCCAUAAAAGGACCCCUCUUAUCCCAGCUGGGUGAGAGCCUUCCUCCCCCCUAUACAGAAGCCCUUCCAGGCUAGUGAAGGCCAUGAUCUUGAAGGGUCCCUUUUCCGUCCUUUUCUUUUGCUUACCUUACUUCCCUUCCUCUCCCCAUUUCCCACUACCCUCUAUCGAAGAUUUCCUUUUGCAGGGAUAGUUCAUCCAACCAGGGAAAAUUCUGUCCUCCUUUUAGGCUGUGAUACCUAACUCAACAUCUGCCUCUUCCUCUGAGAAUCCUUCUUUACCAACCCCACCUACUUACUCAUUCAACAAAUCUUUUUUGAGGACCUACUAUAUGCCGGGCAGUGGACUAGACAAUAGGUGUAUAUUGGUGAACAAGACAGAUGUGACCCUUGCCCUCAGAGCCUACAGUCUCGUUGGGGAUGGACAACAGAUAGGUGACUUCAGUUCAGGGUUAUGAAGGCUCAGGGAGCACUUCAGGGAGACACCUAUCUUGGGCUUGGAAGUCUGGGGAAGUUUCCUGCAGGGAGCAACGUCUGAGCUGAGACUUAUUCCAGCCUAUGGUGUGGUUCUGUCCAGGCAGACAGGACAUCUCACUGGACGUCUAAAGAUAGAACAGGAGCCGAGCAACGGAUCUCACCAGAUGUUACAAGAGAUCUCUAAGGCUGCAUUCCCAAGUAAAUUCUCCAAGUCCCAGAAGAAAGAAGACUGGCCUGAGAGUCACAGGAGUAUGUGACCUUGGCCCAGUCACACCCUGUUUCUGGGCCUUAGUGUCUUGAAAUAUAAAACUAGAGGGCUGGGUGAGUUUAUCUCCAGGCCCUUUUUUAUCAGGAAAAUGGCAAUUAAACAGUGGUUUUGAUUUGUUGAAAUAAAAACCCUCACACAGCUCUGGUCUGCUUGGGGAGGGAGAACAGAAAAAUUCAUAAACCCAGGAGAGGCUGUCAGAGGCGCGGCCCCAGAGGAAGCCGCCCGAGCCAGCUCCUACUCUUUGCUGCACAUUGCCCGGCAGUUCUGAAUCCUGGGAACAUUUCAUUCUUGCCGUGAACUGAAGUCAAGAGCCUUUCUGAGACUGUGCUUGCCUAGAGAGAUGAGCAUGCUGGGAGAGUGCUCGCAGAAUAUAUAUAGUUACUGCACUAAUUUGCCCCUGUGUGUAGCACUGAAGAGCUUUUAUUUUUGAAUGACAGCGUUCACAGGUGAGGAAACUGAGGCCCAGAAUGGUGAAAGGACUUGCCUAAAAUCACGAGGCUGGGGAGUGAUGUCAGAAAGCGGUGCUCAGGUCUCCUGAUCCCCAGUCCAGACUCCGUCCACGCCACCAUGGCAGCAUUUGCUUCCAACUUUCCAUUGGCCUUCUUCCUGUGUCUGGCGCAUUUCCCUGUGAGGCCAUGAGAUCUGGGAAGGCAGCCUUGGCCUCCUUAUCUGGACAUCCCCUAGAGCCUGGUGCAGGGCUCUGAACAGAGGGAGGGGGGCUCAGAGCCCCAUCCCCCAGCCCCCCUUUCUCCCGCUUCAUGACCCUAUUUACAGGCAUAUAGCUGUCUGGCCUGAUCUAAAGGCAUCUCUGGAUUAUACCAGGCAUGUUCCCAGUCCCGUGAGGCCUAAAACCUGCUCUGUGACUUCACACAAGCUGAUUACCUUCCCUGGAUCUCAGUUUCUUCUCUGUCAAAACUGAUUCUAACUCCUUGGCCAUUUGUAGCUUGAAGUCCCAGAUUAGGAAAUGUUUUUAAAAGAUAUAACUCUAAGGUACAGGAAGGAGUAUAACAUCUCAGUCCGUCUGCAGAAGCCCAGCAGCCCCGGGCCAUGUCUGCUCUGUCUGCAGGCACUGCUGAGCUGCCCUGCCUUCCCCUGGCACCAUGCUGAACCCUGAGGAAGUUACAGGAUAAGUAACCUGAAUACAUUCUGGUUCAGCUCAGAGGCCAAAAAUAAUCAAAAAGGAAUCCCAAUUUUUCCUGGUAUGUCCAGGUGAUCCCAUAUGUAACCUACCACAGCACUGGUUAAAAUACCCUUUCCUCCUGUAUUCUGCCGAUCCUACAUCAGCCCCUCUCUCUGCCUCUUGGUCCUCCAUAGUCCACAGAGCUUCGGUCUCUCUCUUUGCCCACUGUCAUCUCCUUAUCUGGGUUGGCUUGGCCGCCCAGGCUCCGUUAUUUUCCUUUCCCUUCACCCAUUACCCAGAUUCUCCCUGACACACAAGAAAGGUGCCCAGUCCCUGCCUCUCUACUCCUCUCUCCCCCCUCUUGUUCUCCCAGUUCUGUACCAUAAAAGCCCUGGAACUGAGCAGGCCAAGACAGGAUUUCCAACCACAGCUCCAGAUCUCAAGGACACAGGCUCUGCCAUUUCCCAUCAGACGGACAUGUGGACCCUGACCCUUCUCCGGCACUGAGGAAGACAGGAAGGUUCAUGGAGCAGAGAGGCAGGAACACGCUCCACAGACCCCAUUCCGCUCCCCACAAGGGACUCACUCCUCUGAGUUUCGGUGCCACAUCUGCAAAAGGGAGCAAACAACGUCUGCUGCCCACAGCUGUCAGGAUACCCGGGCUGACUUCAACAUCUCAAGCCUCUCUGGUCUGCUGUCGCCGGCACUAGCGGAGAGCCUGCUAGUUGCCUUGCCCCCCUGUCACCUCACAGGGGGCAAUGCCACACUGAUGGUCCGGAGAGCCAAUGACAGCAAAGUGGUGAAAUCAAGGUUUGUGGUGCCUCCAUGCCGCGGACGCAGGGAGCUGGUGAGUGUGGUGGACAGUGGGGCUGGCUUCACGGUCACCCGGCUCAGUGCCUACCAGGUGACAAACCUCGUGCCAGGAACCAAAUACUAGUAGGUACCAGCCCCAGGCCUGGGGCACUGUGUGGGGGUAAGAAAGAGAAGAUGGGUCCUGACAUCUGCAGUGGGCGAACAUGGUCAGCAUGGGGAGAGGAGGGCAGAGCUAAGGGGUCAAGAAUGGGCCUUCCUUGGAGGUCCUGUGAAGGGGGAGGCCUGGGCUCCUUCUCCCAAGUCCCAGGUAGUCGCUGAGGAUCGUCUCCUCUCUCUCCCAAACCUCACCACAAAAGCAUUUCCUACCAAGUGAUGAAGGGGACAGUCACUGAGUCCAGCAGAGAGAUCCCCAUGUCCACACUUCCUCGUGAGUAACAUCCCCGGGCACCCCAGGCCCAGCUGCCGCCCCCCCCGUGCCCACCUCUCCCAGCUCUGAGCCCUUGGCUCUGCAACUGCCUGUGGGCUCGCCUGCCCGCGCUGUAGGGGUGUGUCCAGUCCAUCGCUGUGACCUCAGGGACUGACACCGGAGGGUCUCCAGGGCUGUUUGGGUCCCUGCGAGGAUCAGUUGGUGGCUGGAUCAAUAAACGGUGAAGGGACGACUGGAUGAGGGCUGGGCGGGGAGUCUCGGGAAGGAGAGGGGCUCCUCCGGCCCACAAACGCCUCCCUGCUGUCUGGAGCAGGAAGGGCGGCAGAGUCCCUGGCGCUGGGAAUGGCCCGGACAGGAGGUAUGGUGGUCAUCACGGUGCUGCUCUCUGUCGCCAUGUUCCUGCUGGUUCUGGGCCUCAUCAUCACCCUGGCACUGGGUGCCCACAAGUGAGGAGGACUGCGCGGAGCGGGGGCCUCCCCCAGGAAGCCCAGGCUGUCUGUCCCCAGCCCAGGGCUCUGCCUCCCCUCCUGAGAAGACUGUCUGCUCCCAGGCCUCAGUCACCAGACUGGCUCCUUCGGCGCCUCCCCUCCCCUGCCCGCCUGCCCCCAGUGGAGCCCAUUCCCCUCCUUUCCCUCUCCUUGUCCCCUCAUGCCUCACCUUCCCCCAGCACUCCCCACAUUCCACUCACCCGACUCCCGUCAGAAUUGAUACUCCUCCCAUUUUACCUUAAAUGCCCCACCCCUCCCGAUGACAAUUCACCCCCGACCCUCAGUGAACAAAGUUCCUAGAAUAAAGUCUGAUGUCCCACCAGG